CUUUUUGAAGAAUGAGCCUGCGAGUUAGUGGCAUGUGGCGAGGUUAACCCGGGUGGGGGAAGCCGUAGCGAAAGCGAGUCCGAACAGGGCGCACCAGUCGCGUGCUCUAGACCCGAAGCGGAGUGAUCUACCCAUGGGCAGGUUGAAGCACGUGUAAGAGCGUGUGGAGGACCGAACCCACUUAGGUUGAAAACUGAGGGGAUGACCUGUGGGUAGGGGUGAAAGGCCAAUCAAACUCCGUGAUAGCUGGUUCUCCCCGAAAUGCAUUUAGGUGCAGCGUCAUGUGUUUCUUGCCGGAGGUAGAGCUACUGGAUGGCCGAUGGGCCCUACAAGGUUACUGACGUCAACCAAACUCCGAAUGCCGGUAAGUGAGAGCAUGGCAGUGAGACUGCGGGCUAAGGUUCGUGGUCGAGAGGGAAACAGCCCAGACCACCGGCUAAGGCCCCCAAGCGUGUGUAAGUGGGAAAGGAUGUGGAGUUGCACAGACAACCAGGAGGUUGGC
Molecule: non-coding RNA, 502 nt
Filed under: Georgenia sp. SUBG003
Lineage: Bacteria; Bacillati; Actinomycetota; Actinomycetes; Allobogoriellales; Allobogoriellaceae
Description: bacterial LSU rRNA
Rfam family: Bacterial large subunit ribosomal RNA
Source: RNAcentral